UGGGGGAUAUUGCACAAUGGGGGGAAACCCUGAUGCAGCGACGCCGCGUGAGUGAAGAAGUAUUUCGGUAUGUAAAGCUCUAUCAGCAGGGAAGAAAAAAGACGGUACCUGACUAAGAAGCCCCGGCUAACUACGUGCC
RNAcentral lists this ribosomal RNA (139 nucleotides) under uncultured bacterium. RNAcentral's name for it is "partial 16S ribosomal RNA". It matches the Rfam family "Bacterial small subunit ribosomal RNA", at positions 355 to 509 of the family's 1533-position model. The record is from RNAcentral.